UAGCAUAAUAAAUUGUUCUUUAAUUGGGAACUGGAAUGAAAGGUUAUACAAUUUAUAAUUUUAUUAAAUUUAAUAUAUGAAUUUUCAUUAUAAGUAAAAAUGCUUAUAUUUUAUAAAGGGACGAUAAGACCCUAGAAGCUUUAGUUUUUAGUGAUAUAAUAUAGUUAUAUUUAUAGGUUAUAUUUUAAAAAAUUUUGAUUGGGGAAAUAAGAAUUUUAUAAAUAAUUUUGUUAGGUAUGAUUAUAAUAUUUAAAGAUCUUUUAUAUAAAAAUGGGAUGUAAAAGUUACUCUAGGGAUAACAGCAUAAUAAUUUUGGAUAGACCUUAUAUAUAAAAUUGAUUAUGACCUCGAUGUUGAAUUAAAAAUAUCUUUAUAAAGUAGAAAUUAUAAAAGAAGGUUUGUUCAACCUUUAAUUUUUU
This 419-nucleotide ribosomal RNA is filed under the name Metacrangonyx repens. RNAcentral describes it as "partial 16S ribosomal RNA". Lineage: Eukaryota; Metazoa; Arthropoda; Malacostraca; Amphipoda; Metacrangonyctidae. The record is from RNAcentral.